RNAcentral lists this small RNA (603 nucleotides) under uncultured Phialocephala. Its description in RNAcentral is "eukaryotic LSU rRNA". The stretch from base 243 to 396 matches the Rfam family "5.8S ribosomal RNA". Lineage: Eukaryota; Fungi; Ascomycota; Leotiomycetes; Helotiales. The record is from RNAcentral.
CUUGGUCAUUUAGAGGAAGUAAAAGUCGUAACAAGGUUUCCGUAGGUGAACCUGCGGAAGGAUCAUUACAAGUGAGGCUACCGAACGUUGGAAACAGCGGUUAGGAGCUUACACCCACCCGUGUUUACAUACUAUUGUUGCUUUGGCGGGCCGUGGCCUCCACUGCGGGCUCUGCUCGUGUGUGCCCGCCAGAGAACCAAACUCUGAAUGUUAGUGAUGUCUGAGUACUAUCUAAUAGUUAAAACUUUCAACAACGGAUCUCUUGGUUCUGGCAUCGAUGAAGAACGCAGCGAAAUGCGAUAAGUAAUGUGAAUUGCAGAAUUCAGUGAAUCAUCGAAUCUUUGAACGCACAUUGCGCCCUGUGGUAUUCCGCAGGGCAUGCCUGUUCGAGCGUCAUUUAACCACUCACGCCUAGCGUGGUAUUGGGGCACGCGGUCUCCGCGGCCCUCAAAAUGAGUGGCGGCGCCGGUGGGCUCUAAGCGUAGUACAUACUCCCGCUAUAGAGUUCCCCCGGUGGCUCGCCAGAACCCCCAAUUUUUACAGGUUGACCUCGGAUCAGGUAGGGAUACCCGCUGAACUUAAGCAUAUCAAUAAGCGGAGGAA